RNAcentral lists this microRNA (22 nucleotides) under Anolis carolinensis (green anole). RNAcentral describes it as "Aca-Mir-5417_3p (mature (guide))". Lineage: Eukaryota; Metazoa; Chordata; Lepidosauria; Squamata; Anolidae. The record is from RNAcentral.
UCAUCCCAGCCCCUUUUCUCCC